This 2000-nucleotide long non-coding RNA is filed under the name Papio anubis (olive baboon). Its description in RNAcentral is "lncRNA (ENSPANG00000040801.1)". Lineage: Eukaryota; Metazoa; Chordata; Mammalia; Primates; Cercopithecidae. The record is from RNAcentral.
AGGUUGCUGCUGGGGGAUGGGGGAGGGUUGGUGUCAGCAGUUCAAGACUGUCUUUCCUACCCUCUUCAGUGCCUUUUUCUGUAAUAUGAAGUUAGAACCAAGUACUGUUAUUACUUAACUGAUUUUUGGUUCUUAUGAAGGUGCUUUUUUGUGUGGAUAGUUGUUCAAUUUGGUGUUCCUGCAGGGAGGAUAAUCCUUGAAGGUUUCUAUUUAGCCAUCUUGCUCUGCCUCUUGCUCCUAUAACAUUUUUAGUAAAGAAAAUGAAUAUUUUAAUUAGAAGCAACUGAUUCUACUGCUAAAUUAACAUUGCUUGGGUCCACAUUUUGCACACUAAAACAUUCACAGAAAGAGUUCUUAUAUUUGUAACUGUACUUAAUAGGAUCUCUUUUUGACCAAAAAUGAACCACAAGGCACUUAUAAACCCUGUGAGCUUGGACAGGAAAUGGGAAUUUGAAUCAAUAACUCUGCUGGAGUCACACCAGCUAUUGGCAAGAGACAGAGUGUCACUCUACUGCCUAGGCUGGAGUGCAGUGGAAGCGAUCACAGCUAACUGCAGCCUUGAGUUCCUGGGCUCAAGAAAUUCUCCCAUCUUGGCAUCUCAGGCUUGGGAUUACAGGUUAGAGCUGAUAUAUGUGGGUUUAAUGAAGAGACAACUUAUGAACUUUGCCUGCAGUGGAUGCAAUUUGGGGCCUUCUAUCCCUUUUCCAGAAACAAUAAGGCCAUUGGAAAUAAGGUUUCCAUCAGAUCCUAAAACCCAUGAAAUCAACAGAGCAUUUCUUUGGGAACCAGCUUUGAUGACUGUCCAUGUCUUACAGAGAGAAUGGUGAAAACCACUGUGAUUAAAAAUGGCUACUUUGGAAUCAACAGUCUGGCAUAUGGCACAAUUCAGAUCCUUGGUCUGACUUCAAAGUCAAAUAGUAUUACUGUAAAUGGAGAAACAUUCCAAGCAACAGACUACCAUAUAAGUCUAAUAAUCGGGUAAAGUUUAAACACUAUUGACUUAAAUGGCAAAGUUUCCUUAAUUAAGUCGUGUAUGUGCUAAUAAUUGAAUUUUCCCUGAAUACUGUCUCUUUGCAAAAACCACAGUAAAUCACAUUUCUUAAAUAACAGAUUACAUAUUUCUGAAGCACAAGGAAGACAAUAGCAUACAGUUAUAUUUCCAGACAAAACUCUUCCCAUAUCAGGACUAGAAAUUUUGUUGGAUUAAAUGUCACAGGCAAUAUCAUGCAAGGCUGGUGCAUUCUCUGGCAAGUGUAACAUUAAGGAAGGACAAAUGGGGAUCUAAAAUAAAUGAGAAUUAAGUUUAUAGAAAAUUGAAAGUGGAAAGUUUGAAGGGACUAUAUUUAAAUUCCUUCAUCUAACAGAUACUCAUUUAACUGAGCACCCAGGGAGGUGAAGUGACUUAUCAAAGUCAUAUACCCAUAAUAACUGACAAAACUGAGUCUUGAUCUUGAAACUCCUGACAGCUCAUGCCUCUUUCCUUCUACUCCGUUCUAUCUGGAAAUUAAGCAUAUUUAGUGAGCUCCUGCUGAGAGUUUGAAAGUUAUGCUAUAGAUGCAUGCUUAUGGAUACAAGACAUGGUUCCCACUCCUGAAGAACUCAAUGAAUAGUGUGCUGAAUAGACAUCACUUCCCUACAAUAUGAGGAGAGAUCUAGAGAUUUCAGUGUCUCCGAAGCCCCUAUGUCUAAUACCUUGUCACACAAUACAACAUAAUUGUCUCUAUAAAUACAGAGAAGUGGAAUAGAGCUCAAAAUACUAGAUUUGCUUUUUUUAAUCAAAAAAUAAUUGAUAACAAGGUUGUUUGAUGAAUAAUCUAUGCAAAAUAUACCCUUCUCCAUCUAAAUGCAUUUCUGUCUAAUUGAGAUUUUUUUUAGUCAGUUUGAUAUCUUAGUCUUAACAGUAAUUCUUUACUUGAAGUUUUAUAAUUUACAAAGAAUUUUUAGCAACAUGACUCCAUUUAAUUCUCACUAUGUUCCUGAGAGAUAGAUCUGUAUAGCUG